UAUUAUYNAGUAUGUAAAUUCAUUUGUCGGGGUAGURGUAGUUAUGRUCUUGAAACUCAAAGAAUUUGGCGGKAUUUUAGUCCUUUCAGAGGAAUCUGUCCUUUAAUUGAUGAUACACGAUUGGUUAUUACUUAACAUGGUUAUCAGUUUAUAUACCGCCGUCAGUAAGAUUAUCUUGUUGAGAGUUAAAAAAUUUCAUUAUAUAUUAUUUUAUGUUAUGUCAGGUCAAGGYGUAGCUAAUGGUURAGUGGAGAUGGAUUACAAUANAUUUAUUUGUGUGGAUAUUUAUUUGAAUUUGAUUAAUUGAAAGUGGAUUUGAUUGUAAAUUGAUUUAAAUUGAUUURUUGAUUGKGGCUCUAAKAUGUGUACAUAUCGCCCGUCGCUCUCGUUUUAAGAUGAG
Molecule: ribosomal RNA, 400 nt
Filed under: Sciobia finoti
Lineage: Eukaryota; Metazoa; Arthropoda; Insecta; Orthoptera; Gryllidae
Description: partial 12S ribosomal RNA
Source: RNAcentral